UUGGUGCCGUGACUCGGAUAAAGGAAAUCCGGGAGGGAGGCCCCACUAGGGUGAGGCGCCCCACCGCCUUUUGCGGUGGCCCUAAGGGGGGGGCUUCCUCCUUGGGCCUUUACCGACGAACCUAAAACUCAGUAGCAAGCAAAGGUACCCCCGUUAAUCUUUGUGCACGAAGAACCGCGGAAGAGUGAACACGCAGGAAGCCUUCUCUUGCAGACACAGGCUAAGGAUGUUGGGGGAUGGCCGGAGCUGAUUAUGAAAUCAGCGACCACCAGGCAACGGCCACCGGACUAGACAACGUAGGAGUGCUCCGGGUACGCCCAUCACUGUCCGGAACCGAUUGUGAAAUCAACGAUCACCUGCCUCGACACAACGCAGAGACGAUGCAGAGGGAUGCUCAAGCUACGCACACCGCUAUCGCAAGAGACACGAAUGAAGAAACCUCCAAGAAACUAUAAAAAGAGACUGAAUAAGGGAGUGGGGUGUGGGGCACUGCAGUGUGGGACACUGCAGGAGGGGCGGCUUGGAGACCCCUACCCACCCAGCGCUGUUUUGCUUGCUACUGCUUGCUGUAAUUAAUAAAAUUCUAAUUGACCUUAAAAA
Long non-coding RNA from Vidua chalybeata, 600 nucleotides. RefSeq lists it as uncharacterized. The transcript has 2 exons. The record is from RefSeq and is a predicted model, not a curated record. Lineage: Eukaryota; Metazoa; Chordata; Aves; Passeriformes; Viduidae.